AGAGCUGGCACUGGGGUGUGGUACCAGGAGGCUGCAACAUCUUUCAAACAAUAACUCAAGACACCAUCAGAAGACAAAGGGUGAGCAGAGAAAAUUGAAGGAAAGAUCAAGAGACCUAAAUUAUUAAAGGAGGUGCAUGUGUAGUCAGGAUGAUUCAAUCCCAAUGCCCUUCUGCCUCAAGGUUAAGACUAACUUGAAAAUUGGAAGUAACUGUAACAAGAACAGAUGUCUCACAAUUUUGAUGGAUGCCAGCACAGGAAGACUUAGUGAAAUUGUCCUGGAUACCA
Long non-coding RNA from Callorhinchus milii (elephant shark), 287 nucleotides. RefSeq lists it as uncharacterized. The transcript has 3 exons. NCBI's taxonomy places the organism in Eukaryota, Metazoa, Chordata, Chondrichthyes, Chimaeriformes, Callorhinchidae. The record is from RefSeq and is a predicted model, not a curated record.